This is a transfer RNA of Enterocytozoon bieneusi H348, 72 nucleotides long. It matches the Rfam family "tRNA". Rfam says of the family: Transfer RNA (tRNA) molecules are approximately 80 nucleotides in length. Their secondary structure includes four short double-helical elements and three loops (D, anti-codon, and T loops). Further hydrogen bonds mediate the characteristic L-shaped molecular structure. tRNAs have two regions of fundamental functional importance: the anti-codon, which is responsible for specific mRNA codon recognition, and the 3' end, to which the tRNAs corresponding amino acid is attached (by aminoacyl-tRNA synthetases). tRNAs cope with the degeneracy of the genetic code in two manners: having more than one tRNA (with a specific anti-codon) for a particular amino acid; and 'wobble' base-pairing, i.e. permitting non-standard base-pairing at the 3rd anti-codon position. The record is from Rfam. Lineage: Eukaryota; Fungi; Microsporidia; Enterocytozoonidae.
GGGGUUAUAGCUCAGUGGUAGAGCAUUCGCUUUGCAUGCGAGGGGUCAUGGGUUCGAUCCCUGUUAACUCCA